UUAGGCAAACAAACAGGCCCUAAGUUGAAAGAAAGUUUUAUUACAAAGGCAAUAUGCUGGAUAUACUGAUCAGAAGCAGGAGAUUUGAUUGCAUUUAUCUUAUUAGUGGUAGAAAGAUCGAUUGAGUAUUCCAGGUAACUGAUUCAUAUGUAUACUUGUGUAUGCGCCCCAUUAGGAAGAAAUCUCUGGGCCCAUCCCUGAUUAGUGCUGAUGGACGUGUUUAUCUUGAUGCCAGAGGUCAAGUUUCACAUGUAUAUUGUCUAUGACGAUGAUGUGAAGCACGGCUAUAUGAGGUUGCCAACAAGCAAAAUAAUUAUCAAUAAUUAAUUAUAUUAUAACGUAUCAUUUGUCCAAUAAAGGAGUUUGUGGAUUAA
This is a long non-coding RNA of Asparagus officinalis (garden asparagus), 374 nucleotides long. RefSeq lists it as uncharacterized. The transcript is spliced from 3 exons. The record is from RefSeq and is a predicted model, not a curated record. Lineage: Eukaryota; Viridiplantae; Streptophyta; Magnoliopsida; Asparagales; Asparagaceae.